AGUGAACGCUGGCGGUAGGCCUAACACAUGCAAGUCGAACGGCAGCACAGGAGAGCUUGCUCUCUGGGUGGCGAGUGGCGGACGGGUGAGGAAUACAUCGGAAUCUACUCUGUCGUGGGGGAUAACGUAGGGAAACUUACGCUAAUACCGCAUACGACCUACGGGUGAAAGCAGGGGACCUUCGGGCCUUGCGCGAUUGAAUGAGCCGAUGUCGGAUUAGCUAGUUGGCGGGGUAAAGGCCCACCAAGGCGACGAUCCGUAGCUGGUCGGAGGGGAUGAUCAGCCACAGUGGAACUGAGACACGGUCCAGACGCCUACGGGAGGCAGCAGUGGGGAAUAUUGGACAAUGGGCGCAAGCCUGAUCCAGCCAUACCGCGUGGGUGAAGAAGGCCUUCGGGUUGUAAAGCCCUUUUGUUGGGAAAGAAAUCCAGCUGGCUAAUACCCGGUUGGGAUGACGGUACCCAAAGAAUAAGCACCGGCUAACUUCGUGCCAGCCGCCGCCGUAA
This 506-nucleotide ribosomal RNA is filed under the name uncultured bacterium. Its description in RNAcentral is "partial 16S ribosomal RNA". It matches the Rfam family "Bacterial small subunit ribosomal RNA", at positions 29 to 523 of the family's 1533-position model. The record is from RNAcentral.